AGCUUUGCGCAGUGGCAGUGUCGUAGCCAAUGAGGUUUAUCCGAGAAGCGAUUACUUGCUAAUUAAAAACUUUUCCCAAUACCCUGCCAUGACGACUUGAAAAAUGCUUUCCAACGUAUAGUCAUAGCACAGAAAUGGGCACCUGCUA
Molecule: small nuclear RNA, 148 nt
Organism: Acinonyx jubatus (cheetah)
Lineage: Eukaryota; Metazoa; Chordata; Mammalia; Carnivora; Felidae
Product: U4 spliceosomal RNA
Exons: 1
Source: RefSeq, a predicted model, not a curated record